GACGAACGCUGGCGGCGUGCUUAACACAUGCAAGUCGAACGGAAAGGCCCUGCUUUUGUGGGGUGCUCGAGUGGCGAACGGGUGAGUAACACGUGAGUAACCUGCCCUUGACUUUGGGAUAACUUCAGGAAACUGGGGCUAAUACCGGAUAGGAGCUCCUGCUGCAUGGUGGGGGUUGGAAAGUUUCGGCGGUUGGGGAUGGACUCGCGGCUUAUCAGCUUGUUGGUGGGGUAGUGGCUUACCAAGGCUUUGACGGGUAGCCGGCCUGAGAGAGUGAACGGCCACAUUGGGACUGAGAUACGGCCCAGACUCCUACGGGAGGCAGCAGUGGGGAAUAUUGCACAAUGGGCGGAAGCCUGAUGCAGCAACGCCGCGUGCGGGAUGACGGCCUUCGGGUUGUAAACCGCUUUCGCCUGUGACGAAGCGUGAGUGACGGUAAUGGGUAAAGAAGCACCGGCUAACUACGUG
This 468-nucleotide ribosomal RNA is filed under the name uncultured bacterium. RNAcentral describes it as "partial 16S ribosomal RNA". It matches the Rfam family "Bacterial small subunit ribosomal RNA", at positions 28 to 507 of the family's 1533-position model. The record is from RNAcentral.